RNAcentral lists this ribosomal RNA (373 nucleotides) under uncultured organism. RNAcentral's name for it is "partial 16S ribosomal RNA". It matches the Rfam family "Bacterial small subunit ribosomal RNA", at positions 527 to 896 of the family's 1533-position model. The record is from RNAcentral.
GAACCGUCCAAACGUUAUUCGGAAUCAUUGGGCUUAAAGGGUGCGUAGGCGGUGCGGUCAGUUGGGUGUGAAAUCCCUCGGCUCAACCGAGGAACUGCGCCCAAUACUGCCGUACUCGAGGGAGACAGAGGUAAGCGGAACUGAUGGUGGAGCGGUGAAAUGCGUUGAUAUCAUCAGGAACACCUGUGGCGAAAGCGGCUUACUGGGUCUCUUCUGACGCUGAGGCACGAAAGCUAGGGGAGCGAACGGGGGAUUAGAUACCCCGGUAGUCCUAGCUGUAAACGAUGAGCACUUGAUCGGAGACUCCUCCAUAGGUUUCCGGUCGUAGCGAAAGUGUUAAGUGCUCCGCCUGGGGAGUAUGGUCGCAAGGCUG